This 148-nucleotide non-coding RNA is filed under the name Nomascus leucogenys (northern white-cheeked gibbon). The record is from Rfam by way of RNAcentral. Lineage: Eukaryota; Metazoa; Chordata; Mammalia; Primates; Hylobatidae.
GCUAGGUGUGGUGGCGCAGGCCUGUCAUCCUGGCUACUUGGGAGGCUGAGGUGGGAAAAUCACUUGAGCCCAGGAGGAAUAGGUUGCAGUGAGCUGUGUUCAUGCCACUGCACUCCAGCCUGGGCAACAGAGUGAGACCCCUCCUCAA